AAGUUAAACGGCCGCGGUACCCUAACCGUGCAAAGGUAGCGCAAUCACUUGUUCUUUAAAUGAGGACUAGUAUGAACGGCACCACGAAGGUUAUACUGUCUCCUUCCUCCAAUCAGUGAAACUGACCUCCCCGUGAAGAGGCGAGGAUAAAACCAUAAGACGAGAAGACCCCAUGGAGCUUAAAACUCAGCAUCAAUUGCCACUCAAACACCAUCUUAACAAGUCAAACCUGACAGCUGGUUUUCGGUUGGGGUGACCGCGGAGCAAAACAAAGCCUCCACAAUGAAAGGGGCCUCCCUUAAUCAACAGAGCUACAACUCAAAGAAUCAAUAAAUUGACAUAAAUUGACCCAAUUAAUUUUGAUCAACGAACCAAGUUACCCUGGGGAUAACAGCGCAAUCCACUUCAAGAGCCCAUAUCGACAAGUGGGUUUACGACCUCGAUGUUGGAUCAGGGUAUCCCAGUGGUGCAGCCGCUACUAAAGGUUCGUUUGUUCAACGAUUAA
RNAcentral lists this ribosomal RNA (505 nucleotides) under Uperodon nagaoi. Its description in RNAcentral is "partial small subunit ribosomal RNA". It matches the Rfam family "Bacterial large subunit ribosomal RNA", at positions 1920 to 2591 of the family's 2925-position model. Lineage: Eukaryota; Metazoa; Chordata; Amphibia; Anura; Microhylidae. The record is from RNAcentral.